AUUGCUUUAUGUGGAGAAAAGUUAUGCACAUAACAUAACUUCCAGGCCUUGAGAGCUUGUUGAUAGAAAUUAGAUAAUGCCACAGGCAGUUUGCUCAUGUGUGAUUACUCGAUUA
Long non-coding RNA from Sinocyclocheilus grahami, 115 nucleotides. RefSeq lists it as uncharacterized. NCBI's taxonomy places the organism in Eukaryota, Metazoa, Chordata, Actinopteri, Cypriniformes, Cyprinidae. The record is from RefSeq and is a predicted model, not a curated record. The transcript is spliced from 4 exons.